GGGGCCGUAGCUCAGCUGGGAGAGCACCUGCUUUGCAAGCAGGGGGUCGUCGGUUCGAUCCCGUCCGGCUCCACC
RNAcentral lists this transfer RNA (75 nucleotides) under Bartonella sp. RN24BJ. Its description in RNAcentral is "tRNA-Ala". It matches the Rfam family "tRNA". Rfam says of the family: Transfer RNA (tRNA) molecules are approximately 80 nucleotides in length. Their secondary structure includes four short double-helical elements and three loops (D, anti-codon, and T loops). Further hydrogen bonds mediate the characteristic L-shaped molecular structure. tRNAs have two regions of fundamental functional importance: the anti-codon, which is responsible for specific mRNA codon recognition, and the 3' end, to which the tRNAs corresponding amino acid is attached (by aminoacyl-tRNA synthetases). tRNAs cope with the degeneracy of the genetic code in two manners: having more than one tRNA (with a specific anti-codon) for a particular amino acid; and 'wobble' base-pairing, i.e. permitting non-standard base-pairing at the 3rd anti-codon position. Lineage: Bacteria; Pseudomonadati; Pseudomonadota; Alphaproteobacteria; Hyphomicrobiales; Bartonellaceae. RNAcentral also lists the same sequence under 3 other names. The record is from RNAcentral.